GGCCCUUCUCGAUAACAGCUUUACUGAGAAUAAGUUCCAAAAUUUACAAAUUAUGAGUUUUAGGACAUAAAACCCAACACAAUGCUUAGAUUAUAAAAUCAAGAAAGCUUUAGAAUAGCUCAACAUAAUUCGUGCAUGAUCCCUAGUGGAAUGAUAUCUUUGACCGUUUUAAUAUAACUUGACCUGUGCCCUUGCUAUAAAACCAAGUAUUGGCAUAUCACCAAUCCCAAUAGUCAUGUUGAGAGCACUUUCUC
This 254-nucleotide unclassified non-coding RNA is filed under the name Hevea brasiliensis (rubber tree). The record is from RNAcentral. Lineage: Eukaryota; Viridiplantae; Streptophyta; Magnoliopsida; Malpighiales; Euphorbiaceae.